This 379-nucleotide ribosomal RNA is filed under the name uncultured cyanobacterium. Its description in RNAcentral is "bacterial SSU rRNA". It matches the Rfam family "Bacterial small subunit ribosomal RNA", at positions 376 to 770 of the family's 1533-position model. Lineage: Bacteria; Bacillati; Cyanobacteriota. The record is from RNAcentral.
CGAAAGCCUGACGGAGCAACGCCGCGUGAGGGAUGAAGGCCUCUGGGCUGUAAACCUCUUUUCUCAAGGAAGAAGAUCUGACGGUACUUGAGGAAUAAGCCACGGCUAAUUCCGUGCCAGCAGCCGCGGUAAUACGGGAGUGGCAAGCGUUAUCCGGAAUCAUUGGGCGUAAAGCGUCCGCAGGCGGCCUUGUAAGUCUGUCGUUAAAGCGUGGAGCUUAACUCCAUUUAAGCGAUGGAAACUGCAAGGCUAGAGUGUGGUAGGGGCAGAGGGAAUUCCCGGUGUAGCGGUGAAAUGCGUAGAUAUCGGGAAGAACACCAGUGGCGAAGGCGCUCUGCUGGGCCAUAACUGACGCUCAUGGACGAAAGCCAGGGGAGCG